UGUUUUUUUAUGUAUGUCAGAGACCUGGGGUCCGUUCCACAAAGCAGGUUUAGUGAAAACUCUGAGUCUGUUCAGCCUGAAAUCAGGGAAACUGAGUUCUCCGUUUCACAAAAGGAGGUAACUCAACCCAGAGACAGAGGGGGAACUCUAGCCUGUUUCACAGACAGAGGGAACUUAAGCUCUCGGUCAGUUACCGUAGUAACAGACUCCCCUGCUUGGGACCAGGUUUUUCUCAAUGAACCCUGAGUUUCUCUCUGACUCCGCCCACUUUCAGCCACACACAGGAUUUGAUUUCCUCAUUCACUCAGUCAGCAGGAGAGUUUUAGCCAUAGUUCUGUCGUCUGUU
Molecule: long non-coding RNA, 346 nt
Organism: Sphaeramia orbicularis (orbiculate cardinalfish)
Lineage: Eukaryota; Metazoa; Chordata; Actinopteri; Kurtiformes; Apogonidae
Exons: 4
Source: RefSeq, a predicted model, not a curated record